CUAAUGUAUAAACAAAUAAAAAUAUGUAAAUACACACACAUAAAAAUAUUAAGGAAAACAUAACAACUUUUUGUAAGUUUCAAAUAAACGAUAAAUUUCAACCAAAAUGCACUGGAGUUGAUUAUAAAACUAAUUUCAUUAUGAAAAUAAUAGUAAGUUAUACAAACUUAGACUUAAGAAAUAUUGGAUAAGACUAACUUUCUUUUUAAAACGGCAAUACAAAAGUGAAAUGUAGGAAAGUGUCUUCGUGAUUUUCUUUGUACAAUAUAUUAUUAUCUAGUCGGUCAACCAAUAUGUGAGGGGAAAGUUACUAACGACCGAAGAAUUCCUUUGAAGUCGCAUAAAUGGCAAAUAGGUUUUCAAAAUAAGCUAAAAAGUUAUUUGUCACGGUCUCUGAAUACAGGGUGUUGAUUUCAAUCCUCGCCAUAUUUAUUUAGGUGCUCUAGUAUCUAGCUCUAGCAUUAUCCACCAAAAAAAAUUACAAACGAAAGUGGAAUUUUUAGCGAAUAUUUUUCGUGUGAAAUCAACUUGCCUACUGUGGCUCUCAAAACUGCAAUAGUUUACACUGCGGCACCAUCAAGCUACGCGGAUCGCUCGCUUAUCAUAUCGGAUAGCCUACUGAAGGAAGCCACGUAAAGUAGGUAGUGUAAAUAGGUAUUUUUCUUUGACUAACUAAAGUUAAAGUUCGUUUUAAAUUUUUUUACUGAUUCGCGAUCAGAAUAAGCCACUUAAUUAUUGAAAUAAUAAGCCACUUAAUUAUUGAAAUCAACACCCUGUAUAGAGACGGUAUUUGCUUUGCUCUACAAAGACGUAUUCAUAAUUACUCCAGCUAUUAUCAAUGCUCGCACGAUACCAUUGACUGGCAAAUGGCAUAGUGAAAUGUGGAAGUACAUUGUCAUUAUGGGCCGAACAAUACAUUUUAUGUAACAUUUAGAUUGUUGGCAGUAUGAAGUCGAAUUGUCGUUAAAGGUUACCAUCAUUACUGUUAUGUGAUUUGCGAACUUCUCGGAAGUUAUUGCAGCCAUUUCUAGAACCUCUUUCGUUUUCAUUACCUUUUUAUCAUCCAAAACAAUAUCACUUAUUUAAAAAUCAACUUAAUGUUCCUUUACAAUACUGCCGACAGCCGAAAUUAAUCCAAUUAACGUUACUUUUUAUAUUUACAAACUAAUAACUACUUCUAUCGAUACUUAUUCGUUUUAACUGCAAUAGUUUCACGUCAGUUUGGUUGUUAUAUAAAAUUUAAUCAAUUAAGAUCAUAAAAUUGCUUGUUAUAAUAACACUUGAAAGUUUUAAUGGCGCCAAAAGCUGUUGCAGUUAAAAUACGAACUUGUCAAACAAUAAAAUGUUAAUUAAAAUUUCAUCGGAUAAACUGAAGUUCUACAGUGCUGAUUGAAGGAUAAGGAUUGCUUUAUAAUUGUUUUAAAAAUACUGAAGACAAUGAAUUAGUUGCGUUAAGUUCCAUUCUUAAAAACGAUGAACAUUAAAGGAUUCAAGAUAAUUAUGACCCAGUCCUAAUUUUCGGUUAUCAGAUCUGCGACACCGCUACAACAUCGUACCUGACACCUUUGUUUCACUCCAAAUUGAUAACAUCUCAACUAAUUCAGUGGUUUCAAAAUUUAAAUUUUAGUAAGCUGUGCCCGCGACUUCGUACGCGUGAAAAUAGUUUGAAUAAUAUUUCCCGUUUUUUCAACAUUUUUCUUUACUGUUCCGCCCUUAAGUUUAAGCCUUCGUAGAUUAAUGGGCUAUCCAAAACAAAAACAGUUUUCAAAUCGACCAGUAAUUUAUGAGAUUAGCGCGUUCAA
Molecule: long non-coding RNA, 1802 nt
Organism: Ostrinia furnacalis (Asian corn borer)
Lineage: Eukaryota; Metazoa; Arthropoda; Insecta; Lepidoptera; Crambidae
Exons: 2
Source: RefSeq, a predicted model, not a curated record